Ribosomal RNA from Cercocebus atys (sooty mangabey), 119 nucleotides. The record is from Ensembl. NCBI's taxonomy places the organism in Eukaryota, Metazoa, Chordata, Mammalia, Primates, Cercopithecidae.
GUCUAAGGCCAUACCACCCUGAACCAGCAAGAUCUCAUCUGGUCUCGGAAGAUAUGCAGGUUCGGGCCUGGUUAGUACUUGGAUGGGAGACUGCCUGGGAAUACUGGGUGCUAUGGGCU